CGAGAUAAUAAACUAGUUAUUUAACUAUGCUAGUAGCCUUGUGAUACAAGAUCAAACUUGUCACAUGUCUUUAAGUAAUACUAAAAGAACACACAAAAUUCAAAUGAAAAGUCGCUAAGGUUGACUGUUUUGAAGGAAAGGGUGUGAGAUAGUGAUAGUAGCAACCUGCCUGGGCUUGCUAUUUUUUCUGCCUCACUAAAUAGCUUGUUUCUGCAAUAAAACAAAGCAAACACAAAAAAAAAAGAGAUUAAAUAAAGCAACAAAGCAAACACAACUACUAUAUCAAACUAAUGAAAACAAAUGUAACGGUUCGUUUGAAAUUUUCCAAUUCGUUUAGACCAUAACGAAUUGGAAUAUGAAUGAAAACAAAUCUCAAACAAAUGUUUAGACCAUAAAUGUAAUGGUAAGUUGGUAAUAACCUGCAAUUUAUUACUCCCUAGCUUUCUCUUAAUUAAUCAUUCAGUUGAUGCUGGAACUAGUUAAAUGAAAAUAAAUGAACUAAUUUCAGCCCCCGCUUAAAUAAAUUUUUUUUUUCUGCGAGGGAUGCAAUGAGCUUCAGGUUUCAACUACUUAUGAUUGUGUCUACUCUGACAUAAAGUUCAGGCUACCAAAUAUAAGCAAACAAAGCUCUUGCAAGUCAGUGGUAGUAAGAAUGCAUUAUUACCAAUAAAAAUUCAUUAGCUUUUCAAAAUUGAAAUAAUAAAAAAGAAAAAGAAGGUGACAACAAAGACAUAAAAGGAAGGUCCAUGAGACUCUGACAAUUGAUUUAUAAUAUGAUUCAUCCUUAGCAAAUUAUAAGGCAACUGAAUGACUAGGUUAACAAGAAAAUAAGCGAAAUUAGGAAUCCAUAGCUCUUUCCACACAAAGAGCUUAAUCAAGACUUAAGGCAUCAUGUAUUAAUGCAUGAAUGAUGUGUACUGGCACCAACCUGCUAGAAUAUAAUAUUAAAACAAACUAUAAUCAGAUAUGCCAGGAUCUUUACACCAGACCAAGUUUUAUCUACUCUCUGCUACAUAUAUGUGCUUUGAACCAUCAUUACAGUAACAUGUUUGUAUUGGAUUUUUAGACAACUCAUUUCAGAAUGGCUAGAAUAAUCUAAUAAUAAUUUCAAUGAAAUACCCUUGAGUAGGUGUCUUUUUUUAUCAUAAAGAGGAUCACAGUUCAUAAAUAAAUAAACUUACAGUUAAAUAAGCAAACAUCAUAUUCCAAUUCGUUUGAGAUUUUCCAUUCAUUGUUACUGGUUCGUCAUAGCUUAAACACUGACAAUUUCGAUGGCCUUAAACUCAUUUUCUCAACCUCAUUUUGUGUUGAUACCAUUUAUGUGCCAGGACACCUUCAAGCCAUAAAUAUGGCAACAUUAACAGAACACCAUUAACAGCAAAAAUAAAAAACACAACCAUUAACAGCAUUAACAACAAAAUCAAAAUCAGAACACCAUUAACAGCAUUAACAGCAAAAUCAAAAUCAGAACACCAUUAACAGUAAAAAUCAAAAUCACAACCAACAUCAAAAAGCAAAAAAGGGAGAAAACGUUAAAAAAUUAGGAAACCGUUAACAGAUAACUCACCUUUGAAGACGUUGAAGGCUAGAUUCGCUGGAAGCACCGUUAGAGCGGAGGUGGAGUCGUGGAGGACCAGUCACCGGAGGUGGAAUGGUGGGUCGGGCGAGGUGGGUUUUCGAUUUGGGGGAAAAAAAGGGAAGGGAAUUUAGGGAUUUGUCUCUGAAGAAAAAAAAAAGGAAGGGAAGGGUGUCG
RNAcentral lists this long non-coding RNA (1753 nucleotides) under Gossypium raimondii (Peruvian cotton). Its description in RNAcentral is "long non-coding RNA (GRAI_LNC007207)". The record is from RNAcentral. Lineage: Eukaryota; Viridiplantae; Streptophyta; Magnoliopsida; Malvales; Malvaceae.